RNAcentral lists this ribosomal RNA (595 nucleotides) under Fluoribacter dumoffii. Its description in RNAcentral is "bacterial SSU rRNA". It matches the Rfam family "Bacterial small subunit ribosomal RNA", at positions 239 to 826 of the family's 1533-position model. The record is from RNAcentral. Lineage: Bacteria; Pseudomonadati; Pseudomonadota; Gammaproteobacteria; Legionellales; Legionellaceae.
GAUUAGCUAGUUGGUGGGGUAAGGGCCUACCAAGGCGACGAUCGGUAGCUGGUCUGAGAGGAUGGCCAGCCACACUGGAACUGAGACACGGUCCAGACUCCUACGGGAGGCAGCAGUGGGGAAUAUUGGACAAUGGGGGCAACCCUGAUCCAGCAAUGCCGCGUGUGUGAAGAAGGCCUGAGGGUUGUAAAGCACUUUCAGUGGGGAGGAGGGUUAAUAGGUUAAGAGCUAAUUAACUGGACGUUACCCACAGAAGAAGCACCGGCUAACUCCGUGCCAGCAGCCGCGGUAAUACGGAGGGUGCAAGCGUUAAUCGGAAUUACUGGGCGUAAAGCGUGCGUAGGUGGUUAAUUAAGUUAUCUGUGAAAUCCCUGGGCUUAACCUGGGCAGGUCAGAUGAUACUGGUUGACUCGAGUAUGGGAGAGGGUAGUGGAAUUUCCGGUGUAGCGGUGAAAUGCGUAGAGAUCGGAAGGAACACCAGUGGCGAAGGCGGCUACCUGGCCUAAUACUGACACUGAGGCACGAAAGCAUAGGGAGCAAACUGGACUCGAUACCCUGGUAGUCCACACCGUAAACGAUGUCAACUAGCUGUUGG